RNAcentral lists this long non-coding RNA (4269 nucleotides) under Capsicum annuum. Its description in RNAcentral is "long non-coding RNA (CANN_LNC019095)". The record is from RNAcentral. Lineage: Eukaryota; Viridiplantae; Streptophyta; Magnoliopsida; Solanales; Solanaceae.
UGGCCAACUUGUUCAUAUGUUACUAACUUAUACCUUUAACUUGGACUUUGACUGAACAACAUAUGAAAAGCUUCUUGAAUAACUUACACUCGGCAUGGUAAUUCUGUUAUCAUCAGUUAGUUUGCUCCGAUGUGAACUACUACUUCCUGCAUAAGAAAAAAAUGAUACAUAAAAGUUGAAAUUUACUAAAAAAUAAUAUACACUCUCAUGAAGAUCAAAGCCUCCACUGAAAUCAAUUUAUACACAUAUGCACGCUAAAAUAUCCAUAACAAAUAGAAUUUAAAAAAAUAUAGUAAGCCAAUGGACUCAUGCGAACCCACUCGACAGAAUAUUAGGAAUAUGUAUUCAUGGCUGAAUUUUCUUUUUAUACAUAUCUAGUAGACGUCAAACCUCCUCCUGCUAGUUCAUGUAUAAUGUUACUAAGAUUUUAAACUCAUUUAGUGAUGAUCGUGGCUCCCCCAAUUACGGUCACCUGCAAAUUGAGAGAUUAUAUUACUCCGAAUUGAAACAAAUCUGUUCACAGUAAUACCGUAUUAUAAUGUAAAGAAUACAUAAUUAAGAAGUAACACAAUACAAAAAUUCUUCAAGCCAUAUGUUGCUAACAUGUGUAGGCACCCUGAAUUCAACCUUCCAUGAAUGUUCCACCAAACUUAAAAAUAUCCACAGGCAUCAAAUAGAGAAUAUACAACAUACAAUGAUAAGUGAGAAAACUGUAGAUCAUUGUUUAAGCAAUAUGGACAUGCAUCACACUUAUCCGAUUCUUACUUUUCCCAUAUAUUAAUAACUAAUCUAAUUUCAAUUUUAGGAUGCCAAUACACAUUUGUAAUGUAAGUACUUACCUUUUCCAAACAAAUAUCUUUAAUGGCCUCUAUCAUGGCAAAGACUGACUGCAUAUUUAAUGGCCACUAUCAUGGCAAAGACCGAUUGCAUACUGCAAAUGUGUCACAACUUUGCCAUCCUCCGCUUGUUUUGAAAAGGAAAACAGAAGGCAACACCUCUUUUGGAUUGCCACACAUUAUUCAAACGCCCCUUCCUUUCAGUUGAACAUCAGCAACACACAUCGAACCAAGUGGUAAUAGAAGCUCAUAUACGUUAUUUUUUAAAAAAUAACGUUAAUAGAGAGAAAUUGCCACUUUUAUCUGUAAAAAUAAAAAGACAACAAUUUUUACUAGCAAGGUGACGAAAGCGGAAACGAGUAGGAUAUCUGCUUAUCUUGGUUAGGUUGAUCCAUGAGAGAUCUGGUAGGGCUUUAGGGCAAUUCAGGUGUCUUAUUCGGAUUGAAUGUAUACUAUCCCCCUAUCGGACUAAGGGUUUUUAUCGAAUAUGAAACUCGACUUGAACAACGCGUCCCCAGAAAAGCUUUUUUUUGAGGAUCCGACAACUUAUGCAGGAACUUCCGUAUACUAUCCCCCUAUCGGACUAAUGGUUUUUAUCGAAUAUGAAACACUUGAACAACGCGUCCCCAGAAAAGCUUUUUUUUGAGGAUCCGACAACUUAUGCAGGAACUUCCGACGUCUUUCCCUUUGUAUAGUAUACGGCUAAGUGACUUCAUAACCUCAACCUACUUUUUUGCUUACUGUAGCAUAGGCCUUCGUCGGGCUUUCGUCACUUCGCCUAUAGACGGCGGCAAGAACUAUUAAACAUGUCCAUUACCAAGAAAUAAUAAUCACUAAAUCACCCGUCCAUCACAUUCCAAACGAAAUAAAAAAUAUAAAGUUCAAAUUGCCAAGAGAAUUACCCUGAUUUCAGGUAUCAACAAUAAUGACUCCUUCACGACGCACCUCUUAAUUAACAAUUAGUCCUAUUGCUUUGCAUCUUCUCAUUUUCAAAUUUCUUAUGCACUAAUUUUUUUUUACAACAGAGUUUAAAUUUGACAGUUCUCAAACAAUAUCGAGCAGAAUAUAUAGAAAAUUGUAGCAUUAGUGAGGUCCAAAUCGCAACAUUCAUAUAUAUUACCUUUGUUGGCAAUAUUAAAUGCUAGAGGUAUUAUCAAGUGAGAAAACAUUUCAAACAUGUGAUUAGAUUUACGCCAGACUUGUGAUUUGUAACUGAAAUUCAAGUUAAUCAUUUAAUGUUGUCACAUUCUCAGAUGAUCAAACAAAGUACAAUAAUUCAAGUUAAAAGUUCAAGUACAUAAAACUGCACUGCAGAAAUCAAACAACCCAUAAACCUUCGAUGAAGAACUUAUAUAAUUUUAUGCAAUCAUGCCAUAAUUGAUUACUUGCGUACCCGAAAAAACCUAGAAACACCCUCCACAGUAGCAAAAAAAAGAUAAAUUAGAAGAGGAAUACUGAAUUUUUUUUAUCUAGGUAGAAGGGAUGUGAAAAUAUGGACAAAUAUAGCACAAUUGAAAAGUGAUUAUACAACAAUAGAGAUCACAGACCGGAAAUUGUGAACUUACCCAACCUUGUGAUGUCAACGUUUUCGUAGAUGUACUGGAUCUUGAUGAUAUCUAGAAAGGAACCUCGAUUUUCAUACUCAAAAUCUUAUGUAAAUCAAUAUAUACUCAUCAACAACCCCUAAACGAAGCGAGAGAGUUUUUGUAAGCCUGUGAAAAAUAUGUUCCGAAAAGGGUAUUUUCAGCAAUUUGAAUCGUUUACCAAAAUAUAUAAGUAACAUGCUUCUUGAUUUCCAGAAGUUCAACUAAAAAAACGAAAUUGAGACAUCGUGAAGAUUCGGAAAAAAUUUGCGGACUGGAUUCCAAAGACAUAAAAAAUAGCAUAGAAAAAGACCAAUUAAACUCAUUUAGAAGAAAAAUUACAUGGAUGAGGAAGUUAUGAUUCUAUAUCUUCAAUUUACUUCUUGAACUGUUCCUUUAAUGGAGGUUUCUUUUGUUAUUAGAUUAUUCAGAUAGGGUUAGUUUUGCAUGGUUAAUUCAAAUUAUUAAUUUUAAUUAAAAGUAAUUAUUUUGGUCUUAAUUACCCAAUUAUGUGGAAUUUUCUAUGCUGCCACAUGGCUUAAGGAGAGGGCUUUUUCCUCUCCUUUUAAUUAUAUAUACAUGUGACUUUUUUUCACAUCCCACCUCACGCCCAAGACUGGACAUUUGGUGUGUGGACAAUUUUUAAUUUGGGGGCUCAACAAUGGGUGGGAUGAGUCCUGCUCUGAUAGCAUGUAAAAUUAGAAAUCUUAGGCCUAACUCAACACUAAAGUUAGCUCAUGAGGAGAUAGCUCAUGAGGGGAGGAUUGCCCAAGUCUAUAUAAGUAGACUGUCAAUCCAUUCCCCAACAUUGGGUGCGAUGAGUCCUGCUUUGCAACGAUUAAUUUCGCUCCUCCUUUCGGUCUCCGAGUGUUGCACUUUUAACCCUUGUUGUUGAUCUCAGAUUUACUCUCCCCGCUACGACUCGAGUUAUUAGAUGAAGGUUGAUAACUUCAAAUCUUUGUUGUUAUUUUCCUUUUCUAAUCGUUACUUCUCUCUCGAGCAAGUCUAGAAUACAGAUGAGUUCUUAAUAUUUACAAGCGUUAGAAAACAAUCAUAAUGAAGAAAAUACCAAUAAAUGCAAGCACACCUAUCUUGAAUUUCCUCAUACUUGACCUGUUUCGUUGAUUCAUCAUGAUUUCCACAACCCUAGUUGUGGUGUUUAGCUACACAUGAUUGCAAGCACACAAGAAAAAUUCAUAGAUGAAAACAUAAGUAUGAUCUUAAUGAAAAGCAUCUUACCACUGAUCAAGUCUACCAAUCGUAGACACCAUCCGCGGAAAUCAAAAUUGUAGUUUUUCUACAGCAUCUUGUUCACGGAUCAAGCCUACCAAUCGUGAACUGGUUCAUGGGUUGUGAACACAAAUCAUGGAAAUCAGGUUUUUGACUUUUUCUUCAGAACUUCAUUCAUGAGCAUGUUGGACGGUUCAUGGAUGAUUCCACAAUUCGUGGGUGUUCUAAACUAUUCUUCACUUGGUCAAUUUUGAGCCUUUUUUCUCAGUUUUGCUUCCGAACCCUAUUCUCCUGCAAAAUAUAACAUCAUACCUACCAAAAACACCUAAGUUCUUGCAUAUUUUCAUCGUCUUUAGCAUCAAAAGUGUCAUGAAAUUAUGACACGUCAGUCUAGCUUUGGGUAUUUAUUUUCUUUUUGCAAUUUUGCAAUUUAAGCUAAUUGGAAGAUCAUAGUUUAGAGUAUCAACAAACUCUGUAUAUCAGUAGACUAUUCGUUGUAGUUGAGCAGCCAAUUGUGCUACCAGUGGGUAAGGUUCUUUUUACCAAAUCAGCGCUGUGUUAAAGAAGUGCAGUAGAGAAGCUAUAUCUGACGUUUCAGCUAUAUCGAUUGUGAAUGAAGU